GCAGGGGUUCUUCUUGCCUGAUGUCAAGGAAAGCCCAGAGGUGAGAAGAGGCUAGAAAGGUUUCUGGGUAAAGACCAGUGGAGGAGGAGGGAGUUCCCCCUGUGCUGAGGACCCCCUGUGCUGAGGGGGUUGGAUGGGUGGGAGGAAAGAGACAUUGCUAUUGGGUCUCUUCCCCUCUGGUGUCAUCAGAACACUUAGCUCCAACCUCCUUGCCAGAAGUCUCUAAGUUCCUGGGCUUGCUUUGAUGUUUUCUCUAGCCCAUAAGCUUUUCCCCUGUGGCAAAGUAAGAAGAAAAGGACUGUCCUGUUUCUGAAGAACAAAGUGCUUAUUAUUCCUGACUUUUGGAGAACAGAGGGUCCACCACUCUCAUCCCACACAUGGGAGCCCAGCAGGCCACGUACAUAGAGGCCUCCCACCAAAGUGCCAAGCUGAGAAUCAAAGCCCUCUGCAUGGACUCCCCAUGGUCCCUGUCAUCAGCUCACUCCUGUCACACCGACACCCCUCACCUGUGAUCUUAGGCCCUGUCAGAGUCCACGCCGUCCUGGAAGUUUGUUCAUGCUGACUCUGAAAGCUCCGACUUGGCAGGUUGGGCUUGACACCAAAACCCUGCCUUGAGGGCCCCAGAGCCUCGCUGGCCUCCUAUCAUCUGCCCCUACUUCAACCUGAGAGGAGGAGAAGGAGGAGGAAGAGGAGGAGGAGGAGGAGAAGGACCCGUGCUCACUGGAGCCCGCCAGUCCCAGCCCUUGACUUCCACAGGCCUCUCAGCCUUGUCUCCCUGCAGGGCACUUCCCAGGCCUGGGGCUUCCUCCUAGAACAGCCCUGGAGAGCAGGAGAGGGGAGUCAGAACGCACAGAGGGGAGUGCGCCAGGGUCCGCAGUAUGAUCACAGAAAUAGUAAGGGGCGAGGCUGCAGAGAGACGUGGUGUUCUUCAUUCACAGCCCUGUAAACUGGCACUUUCUGACAGCACAAACCAGAGUCCCAAACUGAAUCCAUCUUCCCUACAACUUGCUGGUCUUCCUGGGUUAUCUGUCUCAAUUUCCUCAGGGUCCUAUGCAAGAAACCUCAGAGUAAUCUAGACCCCUCGGCCUCUCUAACCCCAACCCCUGGGGGGCUUUCCUGCAUGGUGGUUAAGAUGGAGGCUCCCCAGUGAAAGACAUCAGGAGUCAGACCCUGGCUCUGCAGCUUACAUGCUGCAUCCACCAGUCUAAGUUUAUCAAACCACUUACACUUCCAUUUAUUCAUCUGUUCGUGAGAAUAGUAUUUCAUACCUCAUGGUGGUGUAAACAUUUAUUAAGAUGUAUUUUAAGAGGGUGGUGCCUGGAGCUCAGUGAGUAGGGCACCGGCUCCAUAUACCGAGAGUGGAGGGUUCAAACCCGGCCCCAGCCAAACUGCAACAACAAAAAAAAUAGCCGGGUGUUGUGGCAGGAGCCUGUGGUCCCAGCUACUCGGGAGGCUGAGGCAAGAGAAUCGCCUAAGCCCAAGAGCUGGAGGUUGCUGUGAGCUGCGACGCAACAGCACUCUGCCAAGAGUGACAAAGUGAGACUCUGUCUCUAAAAAAAAACAAGAUGUAUUUUAAGAGCUUUUAGUGCAGUGCUUAGCAUAUAGUGAAUACUCAAUAUGACAUGAGUCCAGCCAUCAUGCAGCCCUGACACUCUUCUCUACAACUCUUCCUAAGCCUGUCUCUUCCAUUCCUAUGUCUUUUCCUGCUCAGGCUAUUUUCUCUCCUGAACAUCACAUUUUCUAACUCCAGUAAGGCCCAGCCAAAUCUAUCGUUUACGUAGGUGCCAGGGAAAAAACAUGUAGCCCCUUCCUUUGUCAAAAACUCAGAAGUAGCUUCUGUAGCCUAAACUACAUCUCCUAGGACAUAAGCCCGUCCAUGAUCGUGCUCUUGCCCACGUCUGCAGCUGCAUCUCCCUCCCUGUCCUGCUUCGCAGCUUGUGCCCCCACUCUUCUCCCUGCUGUGCUAUCCCUCUACCUGGAAUGCUGCUCUUCCCCCUCCUUUCUCUUUCACCCCAUCCAUUCGACAGAGCUAACUCAACCCAGAGGUUCCACUUACAAAGCCCCUGCUUAGAAGACCUCCCCAGGAAGUAUGCACAGUCAUACAGUGCAGAGAGAGCCCACACAGGCAGGUGGUUCAAUAAGACACCACUGAGCGGGUGGUGCCUGACUUGGCUGACUCAAGUCUUUGCUUUGAGGAAACCAGCCACAUUAUGGUCCCUCCCUGGCCCUUCAAGGCUGCAGCUUUCCUAAGAAGAGAAAGGGAUUUUAUUUCUCUAUUUUUUUUUGAGACAGUCUCACUUUGUUGCCCUCGGUGUAGUGCCGCGGCAUCACAGCUCACGGCAACCUCAAACUCUUGAGCUGAAGUGAUUCUCUUGCCUCAGCCUCCCCAGACACCCAUCACAAUGCCUGGCUAUUUUUAGAGACGGGGUCUCACUCUUGCUCAGGCUGGUCUCAAACUCUGAGCUCAAGCAAUGUACCUCUCUUGGCUUCCCAGAGUGCUAGGAUUACAAGUGUGAGCCACCACAUCCAGCCUGAGAAAGGGCUUUUUGAUGCUUCUUGGUUCUCCUAGUCCUUUGUUUCCCAGCUUGCCCAUCACCACUCUUCACUCCCCAACCCACCCUUACUCACCUCUUCACACAUGAUUAAGGAAACUGAACAGCACAUUGUGGAGGAUUUCAGACUUAAUAUUACUUGACCUGUUAAGAUUCUCUUCUGUAAAACUUAUAGACUCAUAAAUGUGUAAGAAUAAAAUGAGACAGCAAGCAUGCAAGUGCUUUUAAUAAUUAAUAUAUAAAUGGAUGACUAGAUAAUGGUCUUCCCGGUUCUAUACUAACUCACUUUUCACAUCUACAAAGCCUCUUUUAGUCCCCAAGCAAGCCUUGUGACAGCACCUUCAUCCAUUCCCACGCCUGCUCUGCCAAUCUAGAGCUCCCUCAAACUUCUGGCUUAGCAUUCAUCUCCAUGAAGUUUUUUAUGAUUACUUUAAAACAAUUUUUUUUUUUGAGAUACCCUGGGUGUCUCCCUGGGUUGAGAGCUGUGACACCAUCAUAGCUCACUGAAACCUCCCUACUGUAAUCCUAACACUUUGGGAGGCCAGGGAAGUUGGAUUGCUUGAGCUCAGGAGUUCAAGACCAGGCUGAACAAGAGCUAACCAUCUCUGUGACUUGAUGGUGAUCCUACUUAGGACUGAGAUCAUUCAGGAGCAGAGUGAAUGCCUGCUAUAAGUUGAAUCAGUUAGCAUCAUACGCAAGGUACUAUAUGUUAUGUCAUAUGAGAUUUAUCAGAAACAAAGAGAGAGGGAAAUUAACAGGUAGUCCUAGUUUUCUGAGAAUUGACAGUCUAAAUUGGAGGAAGACAAUAAAUAGGUAUGAGGUAUGACAACUAAGUUCACGAACUCAUUCUAGAAAAAGUGCUACAUACCUCAUUGCUGAAUAUCACUACAACCACUUUCAAAAGUCUCCCCUUGAGAACCUAUGUACCAAUACUAGUGCCUAGUCCACCCUUCAAAGCAAUUUUGGAACUCCUUUUUUUUUUUUUUUGAGACAGAGCCUCAAGCUGUCACCCUGGGUAGCGUGCUGUGACAUCGCAGCUCACAGCAACCUCCAACUCCUGGGCUCAAGCAAUUCUCCUUCCUCCAUCUCCCAAGUAGCUGGGACUACAGGUGCCCACCACAGCACCUGGCUAUUUUUUUGGUUGCAGCCGUCAUUGUUGUUUGGCAGGCCUGGGCUGGAUUCAAAACCACCAGCUCAGAUGUAUGUGGCUGGCGCCUUAGCUGCUUGAGCCACAGGUGCCAAGCCUUGUUUUUUGUUUUUUUAACACAGAGUAUCACUCUGUCAUCCUGGGUAGAAUGCCUUGGCAUCAGCCUAGCUCACAGCAAACUCAAACUUUUGGUUUCAAAUGAUCCUUCUGCCUCAGCCUCCCAAGUAGCUGACAUGACAGGCUGGUCUCAAACUCCUGAGCUCAGAGUGCUAGGAUUACAGGUAUGACCCACCAUACCUGGCUGAUUUUAGAACUCUUUUUCUGGAAUGGCCAACACAGCUGUCAUCAUAUUGUCUUAUCAAAAUGUCUUCCUUUCGGGGCUUCAUCCCAGCUGAGGAGCAAAGAGCCGCUGGCAGCCGCAGAUCUCACCACAGCUCAGGGUUUUUAGAAUUUCAGUUAUAAAAAUGGGCAGAAUUUUCCUUGAUCAUAUUGGUAGUACCCAACUGUUUUCUUGUGCAAACUUGUGAUAUGAUUCUGACCAACCAGUCAGAACUCAUCUCCACUCGGUUCACAGGCACUACUGGCAGGACAUUUCUUUUUAACAAGGUAGUUAACCUGCAAUAUAGUGAAGUUCAAGAUUGGGUCACGCUCACUAGCUGCCACUUGGUUCAAGAUGUGAGCUGCAAAAACUGCAAUAGCAAACCGGGAUGGAUCUAUGAGUUUGCCCCUGAAGACAGCCAGCGUUAUAAGGAAGCCCAUGUGAUCCUGGAACGUGCUCUAGUUCGAGAGAGUGAGGGCUUUGAGGAGUAUGUACCAUCUGAUAACUCUUGAAGAAAAAGAGAGAAAUCCAUCUUUUCUCAGGUCUCCUUCACUGAAAACAAAAAUCUGCUUACAUACACUGUCAUCUUAGCAUCAGAGUCGGAUUCAUGAACUGUCCGCAGAGGUUGUGAGAAUCCAAGAUGGAACCUUUCUUUCUUUCUUUUUUUUUUUAAUUUUGUAUUUUCCAUCCAACAGCAGUGUGUAGAGAGAAUAUUAUGCAGAUGCCAUUAAUUUUUUUCCCCCAUGUUUACAUCUUGAGGAAAAAAAGAUGUAAACACAUCUUACAUAGCUGCAGCUAUGUGGUGGGCUAUGUAAGGAAAAAUAGCUGAGCUAUUAGAGUGAAGAAGUGUAUUCUAUGUAAAUUUUGAAAGGAAAAUAUGUCAAAAGCAUGGUUUUUAAACUUGGGCUUCAUUUUAAAACUUUUUUUUUUAACCCAGUUAUUUCACUUGAUUUGCUAGCUUCAGAGAAGAGAUCCAAAUCUGUGCCCAGAGCUAAAGGCUCAGUGUUAGCAUGGCUUGUGCUGGCCAGCAUGCCAUAUUCUUGUUGGAGAUGAACCAUAGCACCAGAGCCCAUUCUUCCCUGUCAGUCUUGACCCAAAGAUGUCACCAUUCCUAGUUAUUUGUUACCACAUAAUUGGUGUUGAUUGGAAACUUUUCUGAAAUGGGCAGAAUUGCUUGGUUGUCUUUUUUCCAUGUAACUUAAACAUAGUAAUAUAAAUAAAGUAAUAGUUGGA
Molecule: RNA transcript, 5251 nt
Organism: Nycticebus coucang (slow loris)
Lineage: Eukaryota; Metazoa; Chordata; Mammalia; Primates; Lorisidae
Gene name: protein yippee-like 5
Exons: 2
Source: RefSeq, a predicted model, not a curated record